CAGAGGUGUCAAACGUUGUCCGGAAUUAUUGGGCGUAAAGGGCGCGUAGGCGGCCGGGUAAGUGAGAUGUGAAAGCUCUGGGCUCAACCCAGGAAUUACAUUUCAUACUGCUCGGCUCGAGAUUGGUAGAGGAUGGCGGAAUUCCAGGUGUAGCGGUGAAAUGCGUAGAUAUCUGGAGGAACACCUGUGGCGAAGGCGGCUAUCUGGUCCAAUUCUGACGCUGAGGCGCGAAAGGUAGGGGAGCAAACAGGAUUAGAUACCCUGGUAGUCCUACCCGUAAACGAUGAGUACUAGGUGUUGGAGGUAUUGACCCCUUCAGUGCCGUAGCUAACGCAAUAAGUACUCCGCCUGGGAACUACGGUCGCAAGACUG
RNAcentral lists this ribosomal RNA (372 nucleotides) under uncultured organism. RNAcentral describes it as "bacterial SSU rRNA". It matches the Rfam family "Bacterial small subunit ribosomal RNA", at positions 526 to 896 of the family's 1533-position model. The record is from RNAcentral.